AGAUAACUAGUUUAUUUUAUUAAAACGUUAAUAUGCAAUGUUAAAGAAUUUUUGUCUU
Molecule: transfer RNA, 58 nt
Filed under: Sacculina sp. 'Beibu Gulf'
Lineage: Eukaryota; Metazoa; Arthropoda; Thecostraca; Sacculinidae
Description: tRNA-Cys
Source: RNAcentral